RNAcentral lists this ribosomal RNA (738 nucleotides) under uncultured bacterium. RNAcentral's name for it is "bacterial SSU rRNA". It matches the Rfam family "Bacterial small subunit ribosomal RNA", at positions 129 to 882 of the family's 1533-position model. The record is from RNAcentral.
CCUCAAAGAGGGGGACAACAGUUGGAAACGACUGCUAAUACCCGCAUAAGCCCACGACCCGGCAUCGGGUAGAGGGAAAAGGAGCAAUCCGCUUUGAGAUGGCCUCGCGUCCGAUUAGCUAGUUGGUGAGGUAACGGCCCACCAAGGCGACGAUCGGUAGCCGGACUGAGAGGUUGAACGGCCACAUUGGGACUGAGACACGGCCCAGACUCCUACGGGAGGCAGCAGUGGGGAAUAUUGCACAAUGGGGGAAACCCUGAUGCAGCGACGCCGCGUGGAGGAAGAAGGUCUUCGGAUUGUAAACUCCUGUUGUUGAGGAAGAUAAUGACGGUACUCAACAAGGAAGUGACGGCUAACUACGUGCCAGCAGCCGCGGUAAAACGUAGGUCACAAGCGUUGUCCGGAAUUACUGGGUGUAAAGGGAGCGCAGGCGGGAAGGCAAGUUGGAAGUGAAAUCCAUGGGCUCAACCCAUGAACUGCUUUCAAAACUGUUUUUCUUGAGUAGUGCAGAGGUAGGCGGAAUUCCCGGUGUAGCGGUGGAAUGCGUAGAUAUCGGGAGGAACACCAGUGGCGAAGGCGGCCUACUGGGCACCAACUGACGCUGAGGCUCGAAAGUGUGGGUAGCAAACAGGAUUAGAUACCCUGGUAGUCCACACUGUAAACGAUGAUUACUAGGUGUUGGAGGAUUGACCCCUUCAGUGCCGCAGUUAACACAAUAAGUAAUCCACCUGGGGAGUA